UGACGUCACCGCACUGUAGCUUCUAGUAGCUUUUCGCAGCGUUUCCACCCGCCGGGCGCGGUGGCGCGUGCCUGUAGUCCCAGCUACUAGGGAGGCUGAGGUGGGAGGAUCGCUUGAGCCCAGGAGUUCUGGGCUGUAGUGCGCUAUGCCGAUCGGGUGUCCGCACUAAGUUCGGCAUCAAUAUGGUGACCUCCCGGGAGCGGGGGACCACCAGGUUGCCUAAGGAGGGGUGAACCGGCCCAGGUCGGAAACGGAGCAGGUCAAAACUCCCGUGCUGAUCAGUAGUGGGAUCGCGCCUGUGAAUAGCCACUGCACUCCAGCCUGGGCAACAUAGCGAGACCCUGUCUCUUUUGCCCUCCUCACUCACUAAGAGUACCUUUCGUUAAAACUCACCAGUUGACGGGAUGCUCGGGGACUUGCAACCACCUCAUCCCUGCCCCCUACCGGCGCAUCUUCAAAACGUCUCUGCGAAAAGCUGUUAUUACCCUCGGAGCCAACAGGGGCUGCUCGUUUACCCACAGCCAGUCGGAAAAAAUGGCCGCCGGACCACAGAGAGCAAAAACAGGGCUAACUUUCCGACGAGAAACCCCACCACUGCCUCCUUAUAAGGGAAAAACUCGUCUCAGAGGAACCCAUAACGUCCUGUGAUGACAGAGGUGAGGGGCCAGCGUGGCAGCAUGCAUCACCUUGUCUCCCUGCUUGCUUCUCUCUCCGUCGGAUUGCCAAAAGUUCACUGCAUUUUGAACCAGGAUAACUGUCAGAGAAGAUCCUCUUUGAAUCGAGCAGAUAUCUCCCCCAUGGCUGCUUCUGGGUCUGCCCUCUGCAACCACGUGGAAUAAGUCUUAUUCCAGUUCUAGAGGACAACUUUUCAAGAAUUAAAAAAAUCACCUCCAAA
This is a long non-coding RNA of Chlorocebus sabaeus (green monkey), 895 nucleotides long. RefSeq lists it as uncharacterized. The record is from RefSeq and is a predicted model, not a curated record. NCBI's taxonomy places the organism in Eukaryota, Metazoa, Chordata, Mammalia, Primates, Cercopithecidae.